This 482-nucleotide ribosomal RNA is filed under the name uncultured bacterium. RNAcentral describes it as "bacterial SSU rRNA". It matches the Rfam family "Bacterial small subunit ribosomal RNA", at positions 29 to 506 of the family's 1533-position model. The record is from RNAcentral.
UUGAACGCUGGCGGCAUGCUUUACACAUGCAAGUCGAGCGGCAGCGCGGGGGCAACCCUGGCGGCGAGCGGCGAACGGGUGAGUAAUACAUCGGAACGUACCCAGUUGUGGGGGAUAGCCCGGCGAAAGCCGGAUUAAUACCGCAUAAGUCCUGAGGGAGAAAGCGGGGGACCGUAAGGCCUCGCGCGAUUGGAGCGGCCGAUGUUCGAUUAGCUAGUUGGUGGGGUAAAGGCCUACCAAGGCGACGAUCGAUAGCUGGUCUGAGAGGACGACCAGCCACACUGGAACUGAGACACGGCCCAGACUCCUACGGGAGGCAGCAGUGGGGAAUUUUGGACAAUGGGCGCAAGCCUGAUCCAGCCAUUCCGCGUGCAGGAUGAAGGCCUUCGGGUUGUAAACUGCUUUUGUACGGAACGAAAAGGCUCUGGUGAAUACCUGGGGCUCAUGACGGUACCGUAAGAAUAAGCACCGGCUAACUACGU